Molecule: ribosomal RNA, 431 nt
Filed under: uncultured bacterium
Lineage: Bacteria
Description: bacterial SSU rRNA
Rfam family: Bacterial small subunit ribosomal RNA
Source: RNAcentral
AACGAACGCUGGCGGCAGGCUUAACACAUGCAAGUCGAACGCACCUUCGGGUGAGUGGCAGACGGGUGAGUAACGCGUGGGAACCUUCCCUGUGGUACGGAAUAGCUCCGGGAAGCUGGAAUUAAUACCGUAUACGCCCUUUUGGGGAAAGAUUUAUCGCCAUAGGAUGGGCCCGCGUCGGAUUAGCUUGUUGGUAGGGUAAUGGCCUACCAAGGCAACGAUCCGUAGCUGGUCUUAGAGGAUGAUCAGCCACACUGGGACUGAGACACGGCCCAGACUCCUACGGGAGGCAGCAGUGGGGAAUAUUGGACAAUGGGCGAAAGCCUGAUCCAGCCAUGCCGCGUGAGUGACGAAGGCCUUAGGGUUGUAAAACUCUUUUGGCGGGGACGAUAAUGACGGUACCCGCAGAAUAAGCCCCGGCUAACUUCGUG